RNAcentral lists this transfer RNA (72 nucleotides) under Ipomoea nil (Japanese morning glory). It matches the Rfam family "tRNA". Rfam says of the family: Transfer RNA (tRNA) molecules are approximately 80 nucleotides in length. The record is from Rfam by way of RNAcentral. Lineage: Eukaryota; Viridiplantae; Streptophyta; Magnoliopsida; Solanales; Convolvulaceae.
GUCGUUGUAGUAUAGUGGUGAGUUUCCCUGCCUGUCACGCGGGAGACCCGAGUUCGAUCCCCGGCAAUGGUG